RNAcentral lists this ribosomal RNA (490 nucleotides) under uncultured Lachnospiraceae bacterium. RNAcentral's name for it is "partial 16S ribosomal RNA". Lineage: Bacteria; Bacillati; Bacillota; Clostridia; Lachnospirales; Lachnospiraceae. The record is from RNAcentral.
CACGUAGUUAGCCGGGGCUUCUUAGUCAGGUACCGUCAUUUUCUUCCCUGCCGAUAGAGCUUUACGUACCGAGAUACUUCUUCACUCACGCGGCGUCGCUGCAUCAGGGUUUCCCCCAUUGUGCAAUAUUCCCCACUGCUGCCUCCCGUAGGAGUUUGGGCCGUGUCUCAGUCCCAAUGUGGCCGUCCACCCUCUCAGGCCGGCUACUGAUCGCUGCCUUGGUGGGCCGUUACCCCGCCAACUAGCUAAUCAGACGCGGAUCCAUCGUAUACCACCGGAGUUUUUCACACUGCCCCAUGCGGAGCCGUGCGCUUAUGCGGUAUUAGCACCUAUUUCUAAGUGUUAUCCCCCGGUAUACGGCAGGUUAUCCACGCGUUACUCACCCGUCCGCCACUAACUCAUAAAUCACUAGGUUUCAAUAUGAGUCCGUUCGACUUGCAUGUGUUAAGCACGCCGCCAGCGUUCAUCCUGACGCCAGGAUACAAACUCU